GUUGGCCUAGUAGGUCUGGAUAGACUGGAGGGCUAAAAGAGACCCUCAAUCUCAUCUGGGCCAUGCUCCUCCUUUGGAAGAAAGGGUAACUGAGGCCAAGAUCACACAAUCAAUAAGAGGCAGAUCCAGGCCUGGAGCCCUGGUCUCUCUUGCCUGCCAGGCUAGCUGGCUUUCAUCUUGGCCUCCUCCCUCUUCUCACAGCCAAAUUUCAAGGGCCAAAGCUCCCCAAAAGCAGAUGGCCAGGUUUCCCAUAGAGCUAGGGAUUGUGUGGGAGCCUUCAGUUAGGGUUAAGUAAAAAGCAAACCCAGUCCUCCCCCUCCAGCUUUCUCCUGGCCUGAGAUCCACAGUUCAAAAAGUGACCCUGAGUACAGCCCCAGCCUUCCUUGAAUGAGAUUUGGAAAUAAUGGAAAUGACUCCCAACUGCUUCACUCAGAGCCCUACUUGAAUCUGGGGCUUGGAAGUGUUAGCCUAGACCAGCUCAGUGUGGUUCUGCUCACCAUGGAGAGACAGGUUCUCCGUCAACCUGCCCAGAUCAAUCUCAUGGACAUCGAUCCCUGAGGUUAUCCCCUGCUGCCAACUGCUUGAGGAGGAAGAAGGUCAAUGGGAUUCUGCCCACCUGGAAAAGAGGGCUUCUCCCCCAACCUGCACACAUCAGCCUCAUGGAAAUCUGGCCUUGAGAUUGUCCCUUGCUUCCAACAACCUGAAGAGGCCAGAAACAGAAGCCACAGCCAAUGGUUUGUCAAAAAGAGGCCAGGAAUAGAGGAGAGCAAUUUCACUAGGAGAGCUAUAAACACUUCCUCAACGGGUCCAGACUGAUUGGAACCAAUAUUGUAAUUAAUAAAAUUC
This 846-nucleotide long non-coding RNA is filed under the name Sarcophilus harrisii (Tasmanian devil). RNAcentral's name for it is "lncRNA (ENSSHAG00000024533.1)". Lineage: Eukaryota; Metazoa; Chordata; Mammalia; Dasyuromorphia; Dasyuridae. The record is from RNAcentral.